This 253-nucleotide ribosomal RNA is filed under the name uncultured bacterium. RNAcentral describes it as "partial 16S ribosomal RNA". It matches the Rfam family "Bacterial small subunit ribosomal RNA", at positions 524 to 776 of the family's 1533-position model. The record is from RNAcentral.
UACGUAGGCAGCGAGCGUUGUUCGGAGUUACUGGGCGUAAAGCGUGCGUAGGCGGUGUCUUAAGUUUGUUGUGAAAUCUCCCGGCUUAACUGGGAGGGUGCGGCGAAUACUGAGAUGCUGGAGUGCCGGAGAGGUAAGCGGAAUUCCUGGUGUAGCGGUGAAAUGCGUAGAUAUCAGGAGGAACACCUGCGGUGUAGAUGGCUUACUGGACGGUAACUGACGCUGAGGCACGAAAGCGUGGGUAGCAAACAGG